AUGCAGUCGAACGCGCGGCAUCAGGAGCUUGCUCCUGUGACGCGAGUGGCGGACGGGUGAGUAACACGUAGGCAACCUGCCCAUCAGACCGGGAUAACCACGGGAAACCGUGACUAAUACCGGAUAAUCCUUUUCCUCACAGGAGGGAAAGUUGAAAGGCGGUCUUUUGACUGCCACUGAUGGAUGGGCCUGCGGCGCAUUAGCUAGUUGGUGGGGUAAGGGCCCACCAAGGCGACGAUGCGUAGCCGACCUGAGAGGGUGAUCGGCCACACUGGGACUGAGACACGGCCCAGACUCCUACGGGAGGCAGCAGUAGGGAAUCUUCCGCAAUGGACGAAAGUCUGACGGAGCAACGCCGCGUGAGUGAAGAAGGGUUUCGGCUCGUAAAACUCUGUUGUCAGGGAAGAACGUCCCCGUGAGUAACUGCACGGGGAGUGACGGUACCUGACCAGAAAGCCACGGCUAACUACGUGCCAGCAGCCGCGGUAAUACGUAGGUGGCAAGCGUUAUCCGGAAUUAUUGGGCGUAAAGCGCGCGUAGGCGGUCUGUUAAGUCUGAUGUGAAAGCCCCCGGCUCAACCGGGGAGGGUCAUUGGAAACUGGCAGACUUGAGUGCAGAAGAGGAGAGUGGAAUUCCAUGUGUAGCGGUGAAAUGCGCAGAGAUAUGGAGGAACACCAGUGGCGAAGGCGGCUCUCUGGUCUGUAACUGACGCUGAGGUGCGAAAGCGUGGGGAUCAAACAGGAUUAGAUACCCUGGUAGUCCACGCCGUAAACGA
This 775-nucleotide ribosomal RNA is filed under the name Salinicoccus hispanicus. RNAcentral describes it as "bacterial SSU rRNA". It matches the Rfam family "Bacterial small subunit ribosomal RNA", at positions 55 to 809 of the family's 1533-position model. The record is from RNAcentral. Lineage: Bacteria; Bacillati; Bacillota; Bacilli; Caryophanales; Staphylococcaceae.